CAUAAAGAGCUUGCUAGAUCUGACAUGUCAGACAGUAGCAGACAUGAUUAAGGGAAAGACGCCUGAGGAGAUACGCAAGACGUUCAACAUCAAGAAUGACUUCACUCCUGAGGAAGAGGAAGAAGUCAGGAGGGAGAAUGCCUGGGCAUUCGAGUGAAUUUGAGUCUGUUAAGCGUCCAUAUCUGUAGAUAGAUCUGCAAUAUACUUUAGUAGAUGCUAUGAAUAACUUAUAUUAGUAAGUGUGUGACUGUUGUUUCUCGGACCUUCUGGCUUUGGCUGUUGAACCUCUUUUUCUCUGUUAUGCCAUGGUUUCUUGGUAGCCGAUGUCCAUAUUCAUUGAUCUAUUAUUGGAAAUUCAUAUUGUUUCUUGUGUUUAUCAUCACUGGUGCAUUUAGCUUCUUUACUCUUUACUUAAAUGUAAAGGUCAAUUCCUUGGCUUGUGCAAUGGUUUGGUUGUGUUGUUUUCUGUCACAAAAGGAUGUCAGACUAGAGAGUGUAUGUGAGUAGUCUUACAUGGGCAUGGUAUUUGAAGGCACAUAAUGGCCUAGGAUUUGUAGGUUCUUACCUUGAAUCCCGCUUUAGACAGACUCAGUUGAGAGUUUGAGUGUCACUAAGAGAUGGAGAAGUCCACUUUGGUGGGUGAUACAGUGUGAUGGCCUUGGUCCAAUGAGUAGUGCAUUAUUAGAAGAACCAAUAUUUAUCAUAAAUAAGAGCUGUAUAUGUGAAGUUUGACCUUCAUAUCUUAUUCACGAUAAUUUCUUCUCUGAUUUUUUUCCUCAUUAAACGGCUGCACAACUAUACUUGGGUGUGGCAGGAUAAUUUGUUUGGUCUUAUGUUUCACUGUUCUUAUUAUGUGAUUAUUUCCAUGACAUGUUUGUUUCAGUCGGAUCUGGGCAACGUUACCUGUUGUGGCAGGAUGACUGGCCAGACCUUGUAUUCCUGUUGUUGUUUACACGACAUUAUGUCCCUGUUGGUUGAAGCUGUUGGUUGAAGGUAGCUGGUAUGGAAAUAUAUUUGCAAUUUUGCCAAUGUAGUUCGGUGAGUGAUGGUCAUUUUCUUUUUAAAAAUAAAAAUAAAAAUAAAAUCAUAAAAUUAUGAAUGGGCUAUGAGGAGAUCCUUUUCGUCAUUUAAAUAUGCGGCUAAUACAUGAACAAAGAAGAAAAAAAUAAUAAUACUCCAAACAGAGUAUACUCCAAGAUCAAAUGGUUCCGGCUAGUGACAUUAUGCGAAUGAAAAAUGGUUCUGCCAGGUGUUGAUUAUUGUGAUUUGAUGAACUUGACACAUGAGAUUGAUCUAUUUGAUACUUGUGAUUGAUCUACUUGAUACAUGCGAUAUAUUCAUUUGAUACUUGUGAUGGAUAUUCUUUAUCCUUGUUCGUUGUUGAACUCUGACUAUUGGAUUGUGAUUGUUAACCCUUGUGAAUUGUGUAUUGUGAAACUGUUAGAUUGGGUUGAUUUUUUGCAGGUUAUAGUUUGAGGAGGUUUGGUUGGGAUGAAUGGAGUACUUGUAUUCUAGCUAAUUUUGUCUUGUUUAUUUGGUUACUUAUUGAGUACCGUAUUGUUUGGUACUCACUCCUCAUUUUUACACUUGUGUAGGUUCUAAGUCUGGAGCCAUGUGAUUGUUCUUCUUCUGGUUACAUCUGAGGAAACAUUGAGAAGUAGUUGCUUGUCAUCUGGCGGGCCCUCUUGUUUCUUGUUUUAUAUUUUGUUCUAUUUGAGAAAUAAAGACAUUGAGACUUGUAAUUAUCUUUCAAUUUCGCACUUUAUACAUUAGUGGCUUGUACACGUGACAAUUAGUUUUGGAGGUUAUAUUAGAAUGAAUAAGUUUUCCACUCUUAUGUUAUUCUUGUUUUACUUUUCACAUAUUUUUGUUUCGUUGGGUUGAGGCUGACUUGUCUUGAUGGAAAUACACGAGUGUCAUUACGCCCAUUUUUGGAUCGUGACAAUCUCUAUCGAUUGUUGUGAUUUUUGACCUGCUUUCUAAAAAAAUGAAAAAAGGAAGAUAUGGGCAGUAAUUAAAACAGAAAUCAACUUGUGGCUAAAACUUACCCUUGAAAGCAAACAAAUAUGGACACUUCAUUGAAAGCUUGAAAAAAAAUGGAUUAUCACAUUUCUAAAGAAAGAAAGAAGGAAUGAUCUUCGAUGUACAUAUAGAUAUACUUUUUUAAAAAUAUUAUAAUGUAAGUGUAAUUGGUAAUGACUUUACUAAUUGAUGGCUAAAGAUUAAAAUAUCCUUUUACUUUCCUCAAUGGACUUCUAACGCACAUGUUAAAACUAGAAGUGUUCACAGGUCUAUUUAGAUUAGUUAUUGUUCAAAAUCAAAAUCAAAUCAAUUUAAUUAGUUUUUAAAUUAUUAAAAUCAAAUCAAAACUAAAUAAUUAAUAUAUAUAUAGUUCGAUUAUUAAUAAUACACUAAAAUAAAAUAAACGAUUCAUAGAGAAAAAACGACAACAAUGCAUUUGAAAGGAAUAAAUUGUUUUCGUGUCAUUUUAUAAUUCUUAUACCAGAACUACAAUUAUGUUAACUUCCUGCUUAUAUUGUUAACUAAUCCACUGUACUAUAACAACAACAACAAUAUCAUUCCCAUUGAAAUGCGCACACCUUACUACGGUUUCCAAAAGACCCCCUCCUCAAGUGUAUCGAACCCAUGGAAAAGAUGGAGAAAACAUGAGACAUAAAAUCGUAGCAAUAGUAAAAUGUAAUGAUAAUUGAAAUGCAAUAAACAACAAAUGGAAAGAACUAUUAGGGCACGACUGGUCCUAAGAAAUACAUUAUACCUCUACAUGACAAGACACCACUCUAACCCCUACUAGCCUUUUACCCUAAUACGCGUCUCUAGUUCUUCAUAUCUAAAGUCAUGUCCUAAGUAAUAUGAAGCUGCAACAUGUCAUUUUUACCCCUUACUAGCCUUCUACCCUAAUACGUACCCUUCCAAUUCAGUUUAACCAUCAUUCGGGGACGGAUGAUCCCACGGGAAAGAUGUAAAACCCCAAAAAUUCUAACACAAAUCUUAUCUUGAAAAUUUCUGUAGUCUGAUGGGCCCGUAGAAGUAUCUACAAACCAUAGACAGAUUCGUAGAACCGGGUCCUUGAAAGUUGGUUAUCAAGUCUAAGUUUCACGAACCAGACUACGGGUCGUAUAAGUUCCUACGGUCUCAUGGAAACUAAAUCCUGAAGAACACUCCCAGUAAGGUUCCUACAAAAGAGAAGGACAACCCAUCAAAGUUUCUAUGGGCCGUAGAAAGGGUCCUCAAUCCCCAACUUCAGGAAUCUAGAAAACUCAACAUGUUCCUAUGAGAGGGUCUACGACUCAUAGACUUUUGUACGGACCAUAAAUGGCCUUCCGUAGACGACUCCAGUCAGUUUUUAAGAGGGGUUAUUUUUCUCACUCUUUUUAAAUCUGAACCCCGAAGUUUUUACACCUAAUUAAUGUCACAAGAAUCCCUAGCACAAAAUUGAUUUGGAAGCUUCCUUACCAAUUAAGUUUUGAUAUAAGAUUCUACUUAGAUCAACUUCAAAUAACUAUAUCUCUUAGAUUAUGAAAAUUUAGGGGCUCAUAACCAUUUAGAUUAAAGUUAUUUGAGUCUUAUUUCCAAUACCACCAAUUUUACAUCAAUCAUAGUUUUGAGUAAUUAGUUAUGAUCAUUUUACUAACCUGAUACAGUACAAUGACGAAAUAGCCAACGGGGAAAUACUAAAAAGGAUCAUUUUUGUCUUUUUACCACAACACACCCUAAACAAAAAAUUUGACUCCUAAAAACCUCUAAACAAUCAGAUUUUCAUCUCUUAAUUCUCCAUUCUCUUCUCUCUCAAACUCCAAGGUAAAAUCCUAAGGAAAAUCAAAGCAUAAGACUUCCAUGCAAGAUUCUUUCGAAUCUUUUUCAAGAUUCUUCUUCAAGGUAAGUCUUUCUCCAAGAAUUUUAUUCUUUCAAACUCAAAUUCAUUCAUACAAUUAUGAAUCAUCAAUGAAAAUCUUAGUUCUUGGCCAUAGGGUUUCAAGAAACUAAUUCAAGAAUCUCAAGAAAGGUUUUCUUGAUCAUUCUUCUUCAAGCUAGGGUUUCAAACUUCAUCAAGAACUUUAUUUUUUCCAGGUAUGUAAGGUUAUUCAUAGUGUUGGAAUAGUUCGUCCUCAUGUCUUUCAUCUCAAUUCUAUUAGUGAAACGUUAUGUUUAGAGCAUUAUCAACAAUUUUUUUAAAAUUAAAAUUCAGUUGUGUUUCUUUUCUGAGUUUCAAUUCCUUAACCGUUGAGAUUCUGAUUUCUAUUAUGUAUAUUGAUUCUAAUUUUUUGUUUAUAUUUUGUAUCAUAUGAACCCUAUUUGUUUAUAAAAAUUACUAUAUGAGAUUUCUUAUACAUUAAUUUUGGACUUUAUAGGUAAGUCCAUAAGUAUAUGUUUUAAAUGCAUGUUUGGAAAAGAGUUUUUAAAGAAAGGAUCAAAUGAUUUCAUAUGUUUUAUUUGACAGUUCAGAAAGAGAAAGAAUAUAAUUGAUUUUUUGAAAAGUACUUCGGUAAAGAAAAAUAAAAGUAAAGUAAAGUAAUAGUCUCUUUUUCACUCAAUGUCCCAUAAAACUACGUAGCCAACGUACAGAUGGUUUUCACUACUUGUUCAUAUAUUGUUUUGCUUGAUAUGUAUUUAGUCAUCAAUUAUGUUAUUGUUUUAUUCAGUCAUAUUACACACUUGUAUAUUCAAUAUAUUGAUGUCAUUCGAUCUACAUCUUUUGAUGAUGCAGAUUCAAAUAUUUACGGUCAUCAACAGAUGUUCCGUUGACUUCAUCUACUCGUCAGCUUCUGGUGAGACCUCUCUGAUUUCUGAGGACUCCAUUUUUAUUGCUCUAUAAUAUUAGGAUUUUAAGGUGUUGUGGGUCUUGUCCCGAUACCAAUCUUUAGAUAGUAGAGACUUCAUGGGCAAACAGAGUUAGACGGUUUUCACUAUUUUACUUGGAUGUUUUACUAAACACUUAAGGGUCGUUUGGUAGAAUGUAUUAGGAAAAAUAACGCAUGCAUUAGCAUUGUGUAUUACUAGUACCUUGUUUGGUACUCUUUUCCAACCUAUGUAUAACUAAUGCUUGCAUUAGUUAUACACUCUAUUGUGUAUUAAUGUGUGUAUUGUUAAUGCCAUGAAUUUCUAGGUAUUAGCAAUGCAACGGUUUUAAUGCAUGCAUUAGAUUAUUAUUAUUAUAUUUAUUAUAAUUAUUAUUAUUAUAAUAAUUAUAAUUAUUAUUAUUAUAAUUAUUAUUAUUAUAAUUAUUCUUAUUAUUAUUAUUAUUCUUAUUAUUAUAAUUAUUAUUAUUUAUUAUAAUAAUAAUAAUUAUUAUUAUUAUAUUUAUUAUAAUUAUUAUUAUAAUAAUUAUUAUUAUAAUUAUGAUAAUAAUUAUAAUUAUUAUUAUUAUUAUUAUUAUUAGAGGGUAGUUUUGUCAUUAGUUAAUCUAAUGCAUGCAUUAAAACCAUUGCAUUGCUAAUACCUAGAAAUUCAUGGCAUUAACAUAAUAAUAAUAAUGUGGGGGUAUUUUUGUAAACAAAUAUUUUUUAAUAGUCUUUAUACAAGGCUUGCUAUUUCCAAUACAUCAAACCAAACAAUGUAUAAGAAAUAAUGCAAGCAUAACUAAUGCAUGCAUUACUAAUACAUCAUAUUCAACAUUAUUCUUAUACACUCUACCAAACGACCCCUUACUAUUUAUAUUAAGUAUUUUCAGACAUUGUUUUAAAAGUUCUUUAAAUAUUUUAAAUGCUCAUCUAUUAAAGCUUCCGCGUAUUCUAUUGAGUCAUAUGUGUCAUAGUCAGACAUGUCAAGUAUUUGCUUGCGGACCAGCAAUGAUUCUCGAGUGUCGGUCAUGUCCAAGGUGUAGGCUCAAGGCAUGAAAAUAAGACACAACUUCCACCAUAAGGAAAGAUGAGUAGAAGUUGUUAGGGAUCAUCAUCUUCUUCACCUAUGAAAUAUUAACUGAAUACCUACAACCAAACUAUAUCAAGUGGCAUAGCAAGAGUAGUAUUAGUACGAACAACACGUACUGGCAGGCAUCCAAACCCACCACAUAAUAUAAAGUAGACACCACCCAAAGUCUCUAUCCACGUGCUUCUACCAUCUCAGAUAUAAUACCUAUAAACUAGUAUACUUGAACCCAACCUUGUACCUCAUUAUUCUGCUAUCAACUUUGAUGUUUCCUAAGCUAGCCUUUUAUGUCACUUUAACACUUUCCAAAUUUGUCUGUGAUGUCACCCUAAUAUCAUAUCAUAAUAUAACCCUACUAUCACAUAGAGAUUACCGAAUACAAGGCCACCACUAAUGUCAAAUCAUAGACUAACCUUUCUACCACAUAAUGUCCACGAACAUAAGGUCAUCACUAGCCAUAUCAAUCAACUUGCUUGUCCUUCUAGGAAAGUACAUGACACUAGCGCAUUAGACCAACUCAUCUCUCUUGACUCACAUCCCCAUUAUCAAAUAAGUUCUAAAAAAUUAGACAACCAUGAUCAAUCACAUCACUUAACCAUAUACCAGUGUUGAACUUAACAACCACCAUUUCAAUAAAUCAAUCACAUCAUGAUAAAUAGAAAUUGAGUUUAGAAAUAAAUAAAGCAUUGAGACCUCAUAAACUUAACUCAAUAGUUAAAAUAACUAUGCAGAAUAACACCUAAGGAUUCAUUAUCAAUAAACAUUAAUUAUACCUCAACUAUCAUAAGUAACACAUAAUUUGGACUCUCAAUCCUCACCUUAGAUUUAUAUGCAUAACCCGCAAUACCAUAACCACAUGUAACAACAAUGGAGAAUAUGUAGGCUCUCAGCCACAAUAUCAUGAACAAUAACAUUUGGGUCAAACAAUGCAUAACUACAUGUCUCACCUGAUCACAAUGUAAUUAUUGGGCCCCCUCAUGAAAUCACAAUCACAUACAUGGUCCUCUCACGGAAUUCAAACUCAAGCUAUUAGUAUACCGACAUGGUACCCAAGCCAUCUAUAGUUAGUGUAUCAGUAUGGUGUCUAAAUCAUUCAUAGUUAGUGUACCUGCGUGGUACUUGAGUCAACCAACAAUCACGCAUAAUCACAUAGCGCAAUGGACAAGACCACUUGAAAAUCACAAAUCACAAUCACAAGUUCAUUGCAUGAGAUGACCAACAUGAUGUCAUUGCCUCCCUACCAUGCAUUGCAAAAAUGUUACUACAAGUAGUAAACAUGCAUACAUACUUAAAUCAGAAACAUACAACCAACACCUACAUGGGUAUAUCAAUAGCCUAACACUAGAUCCCUUUUUAUGAACACACAUUCGUUUUCUUGAUUAUCACAACCUUAGAAAUGGUUAUAACCUAACAAUAUCAUAACACUUAAUCUUACCAUUAACACCAAAUCACCCUUAAGAAAACUCAAGACUAACAAUCGAGAACUAGAGAACCACCGGUUUUCCUUAGUCAUUAUCUUUUCUUGCCCUGACAUCAAUAAAUAACAACAUUUAGUCAUCUAAACUCCAUACCCAAAGGUUUAGUCCCAUCAAUCCACAAAAUACCAUGCAGUAGUUAAGAAAACAUGUCUAACUACUCAAUUAAGGAAACCUAGCCUACCUGGGUGCCAAACAAUUGUUGUAGAAGUCUGAUCGCGAAUCUUUAACCCUUUGUAAAGCGUUAGCUUGUUCUUAGUCUAAAAUAACAAAUACAACACAACAUUCAAUCAAACAAUGACCUAAUAACUCCCGGAUUGCAACUAAAUCCUAACCCCCAAGCCAAUAUAUGAUCAUCUUCCCCAACUUAGGACUUUUUCCACCAUGAAAUUAUGUCAAAAGUUUCCUCCCAAGAGUAAUAACUUAGAUUCUAAGACUUAAGAAUCAAUGUACAAGGAUGUGUAGUAAUAAUGUUACCUUUAUUGAUGCUUUCCAUGGAAAAUCAAGUGUAACCUGCCUUAAAUUUCCCCUCCCAAGUCCAAGAACACAAAAUGCAAAAAAUAAGGUUUUUAGGGUUAUUUCUGCAUAAAACCCCGAUUCUAUCACUAAAGCAACGCCACUACAAUCGUGACUAACCUCAUUGUAGAGGUCUGAUCCCCAAAUCAAAUGAAAUCGAUUAAUUUAAUCGGCUUGAUUUGAUUUUUUAAUAUGAAUUAAUUUUUACCCUGAUCGUAAACACCCCGCUGCCCGCCCCAAUGGAAACCAUCCUUCCUAUCAUCAUCAUAUAUCAUAUAUCAUAUAUCAUCAUAUCAUAUCAUAUAUAUAUUAUAAGUGGGAAGCUUCCAAGUUAAAAGUUGAAUUACAAAAAUACCCUUCAACUAAAAAAAAAGAUAUUUUUAAUAAAUGGUUGUAAUAUAAUUUUAUACUUAUUAAGCUUUAAUUGUUUUGUAUAAUAAAAUAAUAAACGGAAAAUGAAAAAACCAAGGAGACGAUGAUCAGAUGAUAAUUUUUUAUACUUAAAAACUUUUGAUUUUGUGUUAGAGAAAAGAACCCUUUCCUUUCUUCAUUUAUUUUUUUAAAAAUAGACCAAUAACUCUAUAAAUUAUCUAAUCUUUCCUCUUCCCCAAUACCAAUAACUCUCUAAAUUAUCUAAUCUUUCCUCUUCCCAAUUUAUUACUCAGUUAAAUCGUAAGUUAAUAUAAUUAUAUAUAUUGAAUGAAAGAUGAAACAACUUCCUGAAUAUACCGUUCAUAUUCCUUUUUUGCACUUAGUAUAAUUUAUAUAAAUGCAUAUUAUCAUAUAAGGUAAUAGGACUGCUUCACUUCAGUUGCAACUUAAUAUUAUGAUAUAUUUUUUUGCCUCAUAUUCUUCGUAUUGCUUUCAUUUAUUUUUUUUCUAUUUCAUGUCUAAUGUAGUGUAUUUCUUUGCUUAUAACAGUUAGGUGAAUAAUUUUUCUUCCAUAUUAUUCUCAUUUGUAAAUCAUAAGGUGUGUGCGUUCAUAUUCUCAUUCAUUCCUGAUUUUUUUAAUAAUGUAGAUGCAUUCUUAGUUUGAAUUUAUUUUUACUAUUUAUUAAGUUUCGUAAUUGGAGUGGUAGUUCCUUCAAAGAAAUAUUAGUAAAUGACAUUUCAAAUAUCGUGAAAAAGAUAUUUAGAGUUGAUUUAUAUUGUAAGCACAUUUGAAUGUUGCAUAUGAUUAUGGUAGUCCCCCUUUCUCAUUUUCUAUCUCCAUUUUCACUCUUAAAAAGAUAAAAAUGAUUUCUUUCCUAAUGUAAUCACCAUUCUUUUGCCUUCUUUUUUCAUAUAAAAGUGAUAGUCAAUUCAUGAUUUUAUAAAAAGAACUACAAAAAUGGAUACGAGGAGAGAAAUGUGAAAUAUAUAUUUUGCACUUGAAAUAGGUAAUUGAUAUAUGUCGUGUCAAACAAAUAGUUAAUUUAAUUUGUAGUUUUAGUGAUAAAGUUUGAUUAAUUUUUAGAGUGUGUAAUUUAUUUUCACCAUUAUAAAUUAAUUACAUACGCUUUAAAUUCAUUGUAAUACAAUGUAAAUUACCUUGGUUAUUAUUAAUUAUUUCUAUUUUUCAUCUUCCUAUGUAUUAACUUUUCUCAUAAUCUAUUUAUUUUCCUUUGCCUCAAAACAUUGCUGUCAGAUAUAUAUAAGUUACUGAUAUUAUUUUGUUUCUUUUUGUUGUCUACUCUUUACCAUGCUACCAUAUCUUAUGUGUCAAUUUAGCUAUCAAACUUUUUUCAGGUAGAAUAUUAAUGACCCAUGAAAUUUAUUCUUGAAAAGCUCGGUGUUUUCGAAGUUAUUUCCUAAUCUAUUUUCCAAGUUAUUAUAUAGAUCUUAAGAUUAUUGAAUACUUAUUUGUUAAAUUGAAGCAAAUUACUCUGUCAUGAAUUUUAUUACAUCUACAUUUUUAUCUAUUGUACUUAAAUUUGACCUUUUUAUAGCAAGGGUAAAACUUAUCUGCACCGAAUGUAUACACCAAAUCAAUACAUGCAUGCUAUGUGUUUAAAUUUAUAGUUUAUUUUACUUAACUAUAAUUAAUUAACAUAUAUUUUACUUCAUCAAAUCACGUAAUAAUGAAAAUUGCAUUAGUUGAGUGCAUAUAUUCGGUGCGAAUACGUUUUUUCCUAUAUAUAAACACAUUUAUGUAAUGAGAAAUAGACAAUGUAACAAAGAAAAUUACAAGUUUAUUUUGUAGAAUAGUCUAGGUGUUCUUAUAAUGCAAAUGUGCUAUAUCUAUAUAUAAUAUAAUAGUGUUGUUCUGCCACAAAAUUAAGGGAAAAUGAUGAAAUUACAUCUCAUCAGAGGGUUUUUUUUUUUUUUGGCAACCAAUGUGAAAAUUACCAUUAACAAACAAACAAAACUUACAAACUAAGAGCAUUUCAACCUCAGUACCUUAACUGGUAUUAGAGGAGUGACCUCAUCAACUCAAACUACUUACAUAAAUUCUACCAAAAACUCCUACAUCUAUGUGCUCUUUUGGUAUUCUUAUGCAUGUCUAUCCUCGCUAUAAGUUCUCGAAUUAUUCCCUCCACUAUGUCAGUAUACUGUAUUUGUACUCCUUUGAAAUGCUUCCAAUUCCUUGCCUUCCAGAUGUGAUACACUAUUGCUCCCCAAAUAGCAGUCACCACCUCUUUCUUAAACUUCUUCCAAUGCUUCAACUUUAUCAUCUCCAAUGUAGUUUUUAACUCUUUUGCGGGAAUAAAGAUGUUGGCCCAUUGUAGUAAUUUAGCUCUCACCUUUGCAACAUAUUCACACUCUACAAACAUGUGCUUGUACGACUCUAUCAUUCCAUUUUGACACAGGCAGCAGCUAUUGUCUUCUACAUAUACUCCCAUAUUUAUCAACCUAUCCUUUGUGAGCAAUCUAUUUUGCAUUGCUAGCCACAAAAAGAACCUCUGCCUAAGUAAUACGACAGAGUUCCAAACUAAUUCAGCUACCUCAAGUUUCUCUUGAUUGCCUAUCAGAUCAUUAUAUCCACUUGUAAUUGAAUACUCCCCAUUUGUUGUAAGGUUGAACUGCCCUUACGUAUACCAUUGUUGCAUCAUAUUUUUCAGGGAGUUUAUUUUCCUCCAGUACCAACUACUAUCAACUGGUGCUUUGUGAGUCCAGACUGUAUCAGUUUUUAUGUAAAUCCCAUGCACCCAUUUCACCCAUAAGGAUUCCUUCCUCAUAACCAAUUGCCAUAAGAGCUUUCCAACAAUGGCUACAUUCCAUUUACCACAUCCUUUUAUAUUAAGUCCGCCCUGCUUCUUUGGAUAACAUAUUUUCUCCCAAGAAACCAAUGACACUUUCCUUUUUUCCUCAUUGCCUCCCCACAAAUAUUCUCUGCAUUUCUUGUCCACCUCUUUCACUACACUCUGAGGUAGGAUGAACACUGAGCCCCAAAAACUGUGUAUGGAGAACAAGACUGCCAAGAUCACUUGAAGUCUGCCUGCAUAGGAAAGUUGUUUUGCAUAGGUGUACUUGAUCCUGCUUGUUAUUUUAUCAACUAGUUGAUGGCAUUCCAUUUUUCCCCACCUUUUUGAUCUCAUCAGAGAGUUAUUAUUAAUAAAACACGAUCGGAUGUAUACACCCAAUUAAUACAAUUUCUAUUAUUUCAUGAUUUAAUGAAGCAAUUAUUUCGUAAUUUAAUGAAGCAAAACAUAUGUUAAUUAAUUAUGGUUAAGUAAAAUGAACUAUAAAUUUAAACACAUGACAUGCAUAUAUACACCCAAUGUAUACACCCGAUGUAGUGGACUCAUUUUAGGAUGCUUGGAGUCAUGUGACUUGCACAUAGAUGGGUCUGUUAAUGAUUUUAACAGAAGUUUCAUGAAGGAUGGAAUUUGCUAAGUUUUGAAUACAUUAAGGAUGAUUUUUGUUCAAUAUGAUAGUUGAAAGAUGUACAUUAAGUUUUGGUUAUAGAUAAAGAUGUUUUUGGUCAAAAACUCAAUAAAAGUAAUAUAAGUAGCAAAUCCUAGCAGGUUCUCUCACUCUUGCCUCUUUUUCUUCUCUCUAGCCUACAUUUAGGGUUUGUUGAUCGGUUCACAAUUCUCCUUCAAAGAUGAUCGUUUUGAGGAGCUCCGACGGAGAGACCUUUGAGGUCGAUGAGGCGGUGGCGCUAGAAUCGCCGACCAUUAAGCAUAUGAUAGAGGACGACUGCACUGACACCAGCAUCUCUCUACCCAACGUUACUAGCAAGAUCUUAGUCAAGGUCAUCGAAUACUGCAAGCGCCAUGUGGAGGUUCCUAAAGCUGAGGAUAAGACCGCCGAAGUGGAUCUCAAGACUUUCGAUGCUGAAUUCGUCAAAGUUGAUCAGAGCACCCUUUACGAUCUCAUGCUGGUAUGGAUCUUUUUAAAUCUAUAUGUAUAUCUUAGUUGAUUCGUAUGUGUUUUUGAUUACGAUGAUCCGAUGGUUCAAUUAUUAGUGUGCAGGAUUGCUGAUUCUUUAAUUAAUUUAUCUAAAUAACUAGAAAGAGGCAAAAGUCAUAUAACUUUUUUAUAUUCUAAAAUUAUAGUUGGAUGAAAUAUGUGACUCCUAUGGUAGAAAUGUCAUAUAGAAGCCAAGGGUGUGGCUUGGUGGUCAAUGAAAUGGUUGAGAGCCAUCAGAGGUUCAAUUCAGUGGAGACAAAAAACAUUAGGUGGUUCAUCCCAUCUAUCCUAGCUUCACCUGGUAUUUGUUGUUGAUGGGAGGUGGUAGAAAUCCCAUCGAAUUAGUCGAGGUGCGUGAAAGCCGACCAAGACACCACGUACAUCCAGUAAAGUGUCAAAGCAGUAGCAAAUAAGAGAAGAGCAGUAUCAAAACCAAAAAGAACGAAUGUUUCUAUAUUUGGAAGUUCUUUAAUUUUUCCAUUUACCCUUAGUGACAUUCUCUUAUAGGCAAUGAUAAUGUCAUUUAGUGACAUGUUUAGAUCACAUGUUCCAACUAAAAAGUACUUUCUAUGUGUUAGAACUUCCUUUAUCUUUAUUAAAUUCCAUUCCCAGUCAAGCACCACCUCCAUAUAAAAUUAACCAGAAGAUUAUUAGUUUUCUGUGAUCAGUUUGGUAAUUUUUUGUUAGGUUUUGUUUAUCUUGUGAAUCUAUGGUAGUUUGUCAAUUCACCUUUUACUUCUGGCUACCAUUGCCUAUCGACAUCGCUUUUGUUUGCUGUCUCUUCCAUAGACUGAGUUUCCGCUCUAGUUUGCUCCUGUUUAAGCUUCAAUGGUAAUAUACAUUUAGUUUAUUAGGGCGGUCACGAAUAAAUUAAUCAAUCAAUUAUGUCUCAGUCCCAAACUAAAUCAUUUCUUCCAUAUCCUUUCUGCUUUAUUUGGCUCCAAGGACAUGUCUAUGUGUAGUUGUUUUGUUGUAGUAAACAAUAAACUGCAGUUGGUUGUAGUUGUUUGAAGUAAUGAAAUGGCGUUUGACUGCUACUUCUAUAGUUCUAUUAGUCUGUUAUGUUUGGCAAAAAACAAUUCCCUUUGUCAUGGUUAAGUGAACUUUCUUUUGCUUAGUACAACAGUAUAGUACUAUAGUGGCUCAUUCUAAAACAAUGGGUAAGAACUAAGAAGAUUUGCUGUAACACUAAAAUUGAAAAUAAAACUAAAACAUAGUAACAUACUUGUAAUUGUAAAAUUAGAGUGAAGCAUAUAUUUUACCUUUAGAACAUGUAGUCAUACUUUAGUUUGUUGCCUAUUUUAAGAAAUAAAUGCUAUAUGGACAUGUUUGCAGCACAUUUUGUUUACAUGUUUGAUGUGCCUCUCUGUUCCACCUCCUGAGUUCUUGCCUGGGUAUUUUGAAUCUGUAGAGUGGCUAACAAUUGUUGAAUGUGUUUUUAAUUGUUAAAUUUUGCUGUUUCUUUUAAGCUUACUUGUAGGUUUCCAUUUCUUUUUAGUUAUUGCUAUUAGCAUUUAAUGAUUUACAAUGGACCCUCCCUCUUAGUAUCUAAUUUUCUCAAGUUUGUAGAGAUUUUCUUUUACCUUUUUCUGUUGAGAGCUUGUAUUUGAUGUUUACUGUGUUUAGGUGAUCUCACCCUAUGGCUGUUGUUACUGUUCCUUGCAUAUAGUUCUUUGCUAUUCGUUGCUAUGUUUCUCCACCUAUUUUUUCGUUUUAUUACUGCUUGGAGUUGCUUGAGCCGAGGGUCUUUCGGAAACAGCCUGCGUACACUUUACCCUCCCAAACCCCACUUUGUGGGAUUUCACUUGGUAUGUUGAUGUUGAGAGCUUGUAUAGAGGUUAAGUAUCCUUUGCGUUGUCUCUUUUCAGGCUGCCAACUAUUUAAACAUAAAGAGCUUGCUAGAUCUGACAUGUCAGACAGUAGCAGACAUGAUCAAGGGAAAGACGCCUGAGGAGAUAAGCAAGACAUUCGACAUCAAGGAUGACUUGACUCCUGAGGAAGAGGAAGAAUUCAGGAGGGAGAAUGCCUGGGCAUUCGAGUGAAUUUGAGUCUGUUAAGCAUCCAUAUCUGUAGAUAGAUCUGCAAUAUACUUUAGUAGAUGCUAUGAAUAACUUAUAUCAGUAAGUGUGUGACUGUUGUUUCUCGGACAUUCUGGCUUUGGCUGUUGAACAUCUUUUGCUCUGUUAUGCCGUGGUUUCUUAUGUUCUAAGUAAAAAUUGAAGGUAAAAUCAUGUUGGUAGCCGAUGUCCAUUUUCAUUGAUCUAUUAUUGGAAAUUCAUAUUGUUUGUUGUGUUUAUCA
RNAcentral lists this long non-coding RNA (14511 nucleotides) under Solanum tuberosum (potato). RNAcentral describes it as "long non-coding RNA (STUB_LNC010125)". Lineage: Eukaryota; Viridiplantae; Streptophyta; Magnoliopsida; Solanales; Solanaceae. The record is from RNAcentral.